This 497-nucleotide ribosomal RNA is filed under the name uncultured bacterium. RNAcentral describes it as "partial 16S ribosomal RNA". It matches the Rfam family "Bacterial small subunit ribosomal RNA", at positions 28 to 507 of the family's 1533-position model. The record is from RNAcentral.
GAUGAACGCUGGCGGCGUGCCUAAUACAUGCAAGUCGAGCGAACGGACGAGAAGCUUGCUUCUCUGAUGUUAGCGGCGGACGGGUGAGUAACACGUGGAUAACCUACAUAUAAGACUGGGAUAACUUCGGGAAACCGGAGCUAAUACCGGAUAAUAUUUUGAACCGCAUGGUUCAAAAGUAAAAGACGGUCUUGCUGUCCCUUAUAGAUGGAUCCGCGCUGCAUUAGCUAGUUGGUAAGGUAACGGCUUACCAAGGCAACGAUGCAUAGCCGACCUGAGAGGGUGAUCGGCCACACUGGAACUGAGACACGGUCCAGACUCCUACGGGAGGCAGCAGUAGGGAAUCUUCCGCAAUGGGCGAAAGCCUGACGGAGCAACGCCGCGUGAGUGAUGAAGGUCUUCGGAUCGUAAAACUCUGUUAUUAGGGAAGAACAUAUGUGUAAGUAACUGUGCACAUCUUGACGGUACCUAAUCAGAAAGCCACGGCUAACUACGUG